RNAcentral lists this ribosomal RNA (254 nucleotides) under uncultured bacterium. RNAcentral's name for it is "partial 16S ribosomal RNA". It matches the Rfam family "Bacterial small subunit ribosomal RNA", at positions 524 to 776 of the family's 1533-position model. The record is from RNAcentral.
UACGGGGGGAGCAAGCGUUGUUCGGAUUUACUGGGCGUAAAGGGCGCGUAGGCGGCCUCUGCAAGUCGACUGUGAAAUCUCCGGGCUUAACCCGGAACGGUCAGCCGAUACUGCAGGGCUAGAGUGCAGAAGGGGCAACUGGAAUUCUCGGUGUAGCGGUGAAAUGCGUAGAUAUCAGGAAGAACACCAAUGGCGAAGGCAGCUCUCUGGGACGGUACUGACGCUGAGACGCGAAAGCGUGGGGAGCGAACAGG